AUUGAACGCUGGCGGCAGGCUUAACACAUGCAAGUCGAGCGGAUGAAGGGAGCUUGCUCCUGGAUUCAGCGGCGGACGGGUGAGUAAUGCCUAGGAAUCUGCCUGGUAGUGGGGGAUAACGUCCGGAAACGGGCGCUAAUACCGCAUACGUCCUGAGGGAGAAAGUGGGGGAUCUUCGGACCUCACGCUAUCAGAUGAGCCUAGGUCGGAUUAGCUAGUUGGUGGGGUAAAGGCCUACCAAGGCGACGAUCCGUAACUGGUCUGAGAGGAUGAUCAGUCACACGGGAACUGAGACACGGUCCAGACUCCUACGGGAGGCAGCAGUGGGGAAUAUUGGACAAUGGGCGAAAGCCUGAUCCAGCCAUGCCGCGUGUGUGAAGAAGGUCUUCGGAUUGUAAAGCACUUUAAGUUGGGAGGAAGGGCAGUAAGUUAAUACCUUGCUGUUUUGACGUUACCAACAGAAUAAGCACCGGCUAACUUCGUG
Molecule: ribosomal RNA, 484 nt
Filed under: uncultured bacterium
Lineage: Bacteria
Description: partial 16S ribosomal RNA
Rfam family: Bacterial small subunit ribosomal RNA
Source: RNAcentral